GAGUUUGAUCUUGGCUCAGGACGAACGCUGGCGGCGUGCCUAAUACAUGCAAGUCGAACGAGGUCCAUCCAGUGGCAACACUGGUGAAGACCUAGUGGCGAACGGGUGAGUAACACGUGAGAAACCUGCCCCGAUCUCAGGAAUAACAGGUGGAAACACCUGCUAAUACCGGAUACCUUCCCUGCACCUCCUGGUGUGGCGAAGAAAGAUUCAUCGGAUUGGGAGGGUCUCGCGGCCUAUCAGCUUGUUGGUGGGGUAACGGCCUACCAAGGCUUCGACGGGUAGCUGGUCUGAGAGGACGAUCAGCCACACUGGGACUGAGACACGGCCCAGACUCCUACGGGAGGCAGCAGUAGGGAAUCUUGCGCAAUGGGCGAAAGCCUGACGCAGCAACGCCGCGUGGGGGAUGAAGGCCCUCGGGUUGUAACCCCUUUCAGCAGGAACGAAUUUGACGGUACCUGCAGAAGAAGGCCCGGCUAACUACGUGCCAGCCGCCGCGGU
RNAcentral lists this ribosomal RNA (501 nucleotides) under uncultured Actinomycetes bacterium. Its description in RNAcentral is "bacterial SSU rRNA". It matches the Rfam family "Bacterial small subunit ribosomal RNA", at positions 9 to 521 of the family's 1533-position model. The record is from RNAcentral. Lineage: Bacteria; Bacillati; Actinomycetota; Actinomycetes.